RNAcentral lists this ribosomal RNA (543 nucleotides) under uncultured Glomeromycotina. Its description in RNAcentral is "SSU rRNA". It matches the Rfam family "Eukaryotic small subunit ribosomal RNA", at positions 548 to 1097 of the family's 1831-position model. The record is from RNAcentral. Lineage: Eukaryota; Fungi; Glomeromycota.
UUGGAGGGCAAGUCUGGUGCCAGCAGCCGCGGUAAUUCCAGCUCCAAUAGCGUAUAUUAAAGUUGUUGCAGUUAAAAAGCUCGUAGUUGAAUUUCGGGGUUCUACCGUUGGUCGGGCUUUGUCUGUACUGGUGUGUAGAAUUUCUACCUUCUGGGGUACCAUCAUGCUAUUAAUUUAGCGUGGUGGGAAACCAGGACCUUUACCUUGAAAAAAUUAGUGUGUUCAAAGCAGGCUUAUGUCUGAAUACAUUAGCGUGGAAUAAUAGAAUAGGACGGUGGUCCUGUUUUGUUGGUUUCUGAAUCACCGUAAUGAUUAAUAGGGAUAGUUGGGGGCAUUAGUAUCCAAUUGUCAGAGGUGAAAUUCUUGGAUUUAUUGAAGACUAACUUCUGCGAAAGCAUUUGCCAAGGAUGUUUUCAUUAAUCAAGAACGAAAGUUAGGGGAUCGAAGACGAUCAGAUACCGUCGUAGUCUUAACCAUAAACUAUGCUGACUAGGGAUCGGACGAUGUUAAUUUUUCUUGACUCGUUCGGCGCCUUACGGGAAA